AGCUCCAAUAGCGUAUAUUAAAGUUGUUGCAGUUAAAAAGCUCGUAGUUGGAUUUGUGGCGUACGGUGAGUUCCGGGCACUUGUUGUCUGAGUAACCUGCUGUUGCCAUCCUUGGGUGGAACCUGUGUGGCAUUAGGUUGUCGUGCAGGGGAUGCCCAUCAUUUACUGUGAAAAAAUUAGAGUGUUCAAAGCAGGCUUAUGCCGUUGAAUAUAUUAGCAUGGAAUAAUAAGAUAGGACUUUUUUGCUAUUUUGUUGGUUUGCGCAAAGAGGUAAUGAUUAAUAGGGACAGUUGGGGGUAUUCGUAUUCCAUUGUCAGAGGUGAAAUUCUUGGAUUUUUGGAAGACGAACUACUGCGAAAGCAUUUACCAAGGAUGUUUUCAUUAAUCAAGAACGAAAGUA
RNAcentral lists this ribosomal RNA (400 nucleotides) under phytoplankton environmental sample. Its description in RNAcentral is "partial small subunit ribosomal RNA". It matches the Rfam family "Eukaryotic small subunit ribosomal RNA", at positions 587 to 991 of the family's 1831-position model. The record is from RNAcentral.